Molecule: ribosomal RNA, 253 nt
Filed under: uncultured bacterium
Lineage: Bacteria
Description: partial 16S ribosomal RNA
Rfam family: Bacterial small subunit ribosomal RNA
Source: RNAcentral
UACGUAGGGUGCAAGCGUUGUCCGGAAUUAUUGGGUGUAAAGAGCUCGUAGGCGGUUUGUCGCGUCUGCUGUGAAAACGCGAGGCUCAACCUCGCGCCUGCAAUGGGUACGGGCAGACUAGAGUGCGGUAGGGGAGAUUGGAAUUCCUGGUGUAGCGGUGGAAUGCGCAGAUAUCAGGAGGAACACCGAUGGCGAAGGCAGAUCUCUGGGCCGUUACUGACGCUGAGGAGCGAAAGCGUGGGGAGCGAACAGG